UGGGGAACCUGCCCCAUAGUCUGGGAUACCACUUGGAAACAGGUGCUAAUACCGGAUAAGAAAGCAGAUCGCAUGAUCAGCUUUUAAAAGGCGGCGUAAGCUGUCGCUAUUGGAUGGCCCCGCGGUGCAUUAGCUAGUUGGUAAGGUAAAGGCUUACCAAGGCGAUGAUGCAUAGCCGAGUUGAGAGACUGAUCGGCCACAUUGGGACUGAGACACGGCCCAAACUCCUACGGGAGGCAGCAGUC
RNAcentral lists this ribosomal RNA (245 nucleotides) under uncultured Lactobacillus sp. Its description in RNAcentral is "partial 16S ribosomal RNA". It matches the Rfam family "Bacterial small subunit ribosomal RNA", at positions 118 to 355 of the family's 1533-position model. The record is from RNAcentral. Lineage: Bacteria; Bacillati; Bacillota; Bacilli; Lactobacillales; Lactobacillaceae.